Molecule: ribosomal RNA, 618 nt
Filed under: uncultured bacterium
Lineage: Bacteria
Description: bacterial SSU rRNA
Rfam family: Bacterial small subunit ribosomal RNA (bases 1-541)
Source: RNAcentral
CCUACGGGAGGCAGCAGUGGGGAAUUUUGGACAAUGGGCGCAAGCCUGAUCCAGCAAUGCCGCGUGAGUGAAGAAGGCCUUCGGGUUGUAAAGCUCUUUUGUCAGGGAAGAAACGGUGGGGGCUAAUAUCUCCUACUAAUGACGGUACCUGAAGAAUAAGCACCGGCUAACUACGUGCCAGCAGCCGCGGUAAUACGUAGGGUGCAAGCGUUAAUCGGAAUUACUGGGCGUAAAGCGUGCGCAGGCGGUUUUGUAAGUCUGUCGUGAAAGCCCCGGGCUCAACCUGGGAAUUGCGAUGGAGACUGCAAGGCUUGAAUCUGGCAGAGGGGGGUAGAAUUCCACGUGUAGCAGUGAAAUGCGUAGAGAUGUGGAGGAACACCGAUGGCGAAGGCAGCCCCCUGGGUCAAGAUUGACGCUCAUGCACGAAAGCGUGGGGAGCAAACAGGAUUAGAUACCCUGGUAGUCCACGCCCUAAACGAUGUCUACUAGUUGUCGGGUUUUAAUUAACUUGGUAACGCAGCUAACGCGUGAGUAGACCGCGUGGGGAGUCGGCGCGAAGUAUUAAAACCUUGAAAGGUAAUUGACGNNGAGAGNGCGAGACGACGACGAGGGAGGAGG